This 497-nucleotide ribosomal RNA is filed under the name uncultured bacterium. Its description in RNAcentral is "partial 16S ribosomal RNA". It matches the Rfam family "Bacterial small subunit ribosomal RNA", at positions 28 to 507 of the family's 1533-position model. The record is from RNAcentral.
GAUGAACGCUGGCGGCGUGCCUAAUACAUGCAAGUCGAGCGAACAGACGAGGAGCUUGCUCCUCUGACGUUAGCGGCGGACGGGUGAGUAACACGUGGAUAACCUACCUAUAAGACUGGGAUAACUUCGGGAAACCGGAGCUAAUACCGGAUAAUAUAUUGAACCGCAUGGUUCAAUAGUGAAAGACGGUUUUGCUGUCACUUAUAGAUGGAUCCGCGCCGCAUUAGCUAGUUGGUAAGGUAACGGCUUACCAAGGCCACGAUGCGUAGCCGACCUGAGAGGGUGAUCGGCCACACUGGAACUGAGACACGGUCCAGACUCCUACGGGAGGCAGCAGUAGGGAAUCUUCCGCAAUGGGCGAAAGCUUGACGGAGCAACGCCGCGUGAGUGAUGAAGGUCUUCGGAUCGUAAAACUCUGUUAUUAGGGAAGAACAAAUGUGUAAGUAACUAUGCACGUCUUGACGGUACCUAAUCAGAAAGCCACGGCUAACUACGUG